Molecule: ribosomal RNA, 391 nt
Filed under: Bacillus velezensis
Lineage: Bacteria; Bacillati; Bacillota; Bacilli; Caryophanales; Bacillaceae
Description: bacterial SSU rRNA
Rfam family: Bacterial small subunit ribosomal RNA
Source: RNAcentral
UUAUCGGAGAGUUUGAUCCUGGCUCAGGACGAACGCUGGCGGCGUGCCUAAUACAUGCAAGUCGAGCGGACAGAUGGGAGCUUGCUCCCUGAUGUUAGCGGCGGACGGGUGAGUAACACGUGGGUAACCUGCCUGUAAGACUGGGAUAACUCCGGGAAACCGGGGCUAAUACCGGAUGGUUGUCUGAACCGCAUGGUUCAGACAUAAAAGGUGGCUUCGGCUACCACUUACAGAUGGACCCGCGGCGCAUUAGCUAGUUGGUGAGGUAACGGCUCACCAAGGCGACGAUGCGUAGCCGACCUGAGAGGGUGAUCGGCCACACUGGGACUGAGACACGGCCCAGACUCCUACGGGAGGCAGCAGUAGGGAAUCUUCCGCAAUGGACGAAAGU